This 375-nucleotide ribosomal RNA is filed under the name uncultured organism. RNAcentral's name for it is "partial 16S ribosomal RNA". It matches the Rfam family "Bacterial small subunit ribosomal RNA", at positions 527 to 896 of the family's 1533-position model. The record is from RNAcentral.
GUAGGUGGCAGGCGUUGUCCGGAAUUAUUGGGCGUAAAGCGCGCGCAGGUGGUUCUUUAAGUCUGAUGUGAAAGACCCCCGGGCUCAACCGGGGAGGGUCAUUGGAAACUGGGGAACUUGAGUGCAGGAGAGGAAAGUGGAAUUCCACGUGUAGCGGUGAAAUGCGUAGAUAUGUGGAGGAACACCAGUGGCGAAGGCGACUUUCUGGCCUGUAACUGACACUGAGGCGCGAAAGCGUGGGGAGCAAACAGGAUUAGAUACCCUGGUAGUCCACGCCGUAAACGAUGAGUGCUAAGUGUUGGGGGGGUUUCCGCCCCUCAGUGCUGCAGCUAACGCAUUAAGCACUCCGCCUGGGGAGUACGGUCGCAAAGACUG